This 1492-nucleotide ribosomal RNA is filed under the name Lacticaseibacillus casei. RNAcentral describes it as "bacterial SSU rRNA". It matches the Rfam family "Bacterial small subunit ribosomal RNA". The record is from RNAcentral. Lineage: Bacteria; Bacillati; Bacillota; Bacilli; Lactobacillales; Lactobacillaceae.
GAUGAACGCUGGCGGCGUGCCUAAUACAUGCAAGUCGAACGAGUUCUCGUUGAUGAUCGGUGCUUGCACCGAGAUUCAACAUGGAACGAGUGGCGGACGGGUGAGUAACACGUGGGUAACCUGCCCUUAAGUGGGGGAUAACAUUUGGAAACAGAUGCUAAUACCGCAUAGAUCCAAGAACCGCAUGGUUCUUGGCUGAAAGAUGGCGUAAGCUAUCGCUUUUGGAUGGACCCGCGGCGUAUUAGCUAGUUGGUGAGGUAAUGGCUCACCAAGGCGAUGAUACGUAGCCGAACUGAGAGGUUGAUCGGCCACAUUGGGACUGAGACACGGCCCAAACUCCUACGGGAGGCAGCAGUAGGGAAUCUUCCACAAUGGACGCAAGUCUGAUGGAGCAACGCCGCGUGAGUGAAGAAGGCUUUCGGGUCGUAAAACUCUGUUGUUGGAGAAGAAUGGUCGGCAGAGUAACUGUUGUCGGCGUGACGGUAUCCAACCAGAAAGCCACGGCUAACUACGUGCCAGCAGCCGCGGUAAUACGUAGGUGGCAAGCGUUAUCCGGAUUUAUUGGGCGUAAAGCGAGCGCAGGCGGUUUUUUAAGUCUGAUGUGAAAGCCCUCGGCUUAACCGAGGAAGCGCAUCGGAAACUGGGAAACUUGAGUGCAGAAGAGGACAGUGGAACUCCAUGUGUAGCGGUGAAAUGCGUAGAUAUAUGGAAGAACACCAGUGGCGAAGGCGGCUGUCUGGUCUGUAACUGACGCUGAGGCUCGAAAGCAUGGGUAGCGAACAGGAUUAGAUACCCUGGUAGUCCAUGCCGUAAACGAUGAAUGCUAGGUGUUGGAGGGUUUCCGCCCUUCAGUGCCGCAGCUAACGCAUUAAGCAUUCCGCCUGGGGAGUACGACCGCAAGGUUGAAACUCAAAGGAAUUGACGGGGGCCCGCACAAGCGGUGGAGCAUGUGGUUUAAUUCGAAGCAACGCGAAGAACCUUACCAGGUCUUGACAUCUUUCGAUCACCUGAGAGAUCAGGCUUCCCCUUCGGGGGCAAAAUGACAGGUGGUGCAUGGUUGUCGUCAGCUCGUGUCGUGAGAUGUUGGGUUAAGUCCCGCAACGAGCGCAACCCUUAUGACUAGUUGCCAGCAUUUAGUUGGGCACUCUAGUAAGACUGCCGGUGACAAACCGGAGGAAGGUGGGGAUGACGUCAAAUCAUCAUGCCCCUUAUGACCUGGGCUACACACGUGCUACAAUGGAUGGUACAACGAGUUGCGAGACCGCGAGGUCAAGCUAAUCUCUUAAAGCCAUUCUCAGUUCGGACUGUAGGCUGCAACUCGCCUACACGAAGUCGGAAUCGCUAGUAAUCGCGGAUCAGCACGCCGCGGUGAAUACGUUCCCGGGCCUUGUACACACCGCCCGUCACACCAUGAGAGUUUGUAACACCCGAAGCCGGUGGCGUAACCCUUUUAGGGAGCGAGCCGUCUAAGGUGGGACAAAUGAUUAGGGUG